This 253-nucleotide ribosomal RNA is filed under the name uncultured bacterium. Its description in RNAcentral is "partial 16S ribosomal RNA". It matches the Rfam family "Bacterial small subunit ribosomal RNA", at positions 524 to 776 of the family's 1533-position model. The record is from RNAcentral.
GACAGAGGUUGCAAGCGUUGUUCGGAAUCACUGGGCAUAAAGCGCACGUAGGCGGUCUGUUAAGUCAGGUGUGAAAGCCCCCGGCUCAACCGGGGAAUUGCAUUUGAUACUGGCAGGCUCGAGAACGGUAGGGGUGAGUGGAACUCCAGGUGGAGCGGUGAAAUGCGUAGAUAUCUGGAGGAACACCGGUGGCGAAAGCGGCUCACUGGACCGUCACUGACGCUGAGGUGCGAAAGCUAGGGUAGCAAACGGG